RNAcentral lists this ribosomal RNA (497 nucleotides) under uncultured bacterium. RNAcentral's name for it is "partial 16S ribosomal RNA". It matches the Rfam family "Bacterial small subunit ribosomal RNA", at positions 28 to 507 of the family's 1533-position model. The record is from RNAcentral.
GAUGAACGCUGGCGGCGUGCCUAAUACAUGCAAGUCGAGCGAACAGACGAGGAGCUUGCUCCUCUGACGUUAGCGGCGGACGGGUGAGUAACACGUGGAUAACCUACCUAUAAGACUGGGAUAACUUCGGGAAACCGGAGCUAAUACCGGAUAACAUGUUGAACCGCAUGGUUCAACAGUGAAAGACGGUCUUGCUGUCACUUAUAGAUGGAUCCGCGCCGCAUUAGCUAGUUGGUAAGGUAACGGCUUACCAAGGCAACGAUGCGUAGCCGACCUGAGAGGGUGAUCGGCCACACUGGAACUGAGACACGGUCCAGACUCCUACGGGAGGCAGCAGUAGGGAAUCUUCCGCAAUGGGCGAAAGCCUGACGGAGCAACGCCGCGUGAGUGAAGAAGGUCUCCGGAUCGUAAAACUCUGUUAUUAGGGAAGAACAAAUGUGUAAGUAACUAUGCACGUCUUGACGGUACCUAAUCAGAAAGCCACGGCUAACUACGUG